Long non-coding RNA from Hipposideros armiger (great roundleaf bat), 425 nucleotides. RefSeq lists it as uncharacterized. The record is from RefSeq and is a predicted model, not a curated record. The transcript is spliced from 3 exons. NCBI's taxonomy places the organism in Eukaryota, Metazoa, Chordata, Mammalia, Chiroptera, Hipposideridae.
GGAGGAUAGAGAGAUGGACCAACUGGAGCCCACGCAGAAGAGAGAAACCCACAUGGGUGCCUCCUGGUCGUUGGCACAGAGGGGCCACUUUCUUUCCUGAGUCGCUGGAAUUCUCCUUCCCUUCCUAAAUGCCCCCCUCCUGCUACCCUGUGGAGCCUGUGCAGGGAGCACCCACACUCCCUCCAUGCUGGACAUGGGGGACUCUGCCUGGUCUGGAUGUUCAGGCCAGGAAUUAAAGCCGAGAGUCUCAAGAAUACCCUACCCCAGCACCGAAGGAGCGAUGAAGGCUGCCAUUUUUGGGAUGCAUUCUGACGCUGACUCAUAUUAUGUGGAACCGUCCUGGGGCAUCCAGGACAUUUGGACUGUGUACAUGUAUCGUAGAGGACUCUGCUUUCUGACAUUUUUUUCCAUUUAAAAAAAGGACU